This 343-nucleotide unclassified non-coding RNA is filed under the name soil metagenome. RNAcentral describes it as "partial contains 5.8S ribosomal RNA, internal transcribed spacer 2, and large subunit ribosomal RNA". The stretch from base 1 to 120 matches the Rfam family "5.8S ribosomal RNA", at positions 35 to 154 of the family's 154-position model. The record is from RNAcentral.
GAUGAAGAACGCAGCGAAAUGCGAUAAGUAAUGUGAAUUGCAGAAUCCAGUGAAUCAUCGAAUCUUUGAACGCACAUUGCGCCCGCCAGCAUUCUGGCGGGCAUGCCUGUUCGAGCGUCAUUUCAACCCUCGACCUCCCUUUGGGGAAGUCGGCGUUGGGGACCGGCAGCACACCGCCGGCCCUGAAAUGGAGUGGCGGCCCGUCCGCGGCGACCUCUGCGUAGUAAUCCAACUCGAACCGGAACCCCGACGCGGCCACGCCGUAAAACACCCAACUUCUGAACGUUGACCUCGAAUCAGGUAGGACUACCCGCUGAACUUAAGCAUAUCAAUAAGCGGAGGA